UACGUAGGGGGCAAGCGUUGUCCGGAUUUAUUGGGCGUAAAGCGCACGCAGGCGGUGCGGUAAGUUUCGAGUGACAGGUGGUGGCUUAACUGCCACAGGACUCGGAAAACUGCUGCACUUGAGGGCUUGAGAGGGACGCGGAAUUCCAGGUGGAGCGGUGAAAUGCGUAGAUAUCUGGAGGAACACCGGUGGCGAAGGCGGCGUUCUGGACUGUAACUGACACUGAUGAACGAAAGCCAGGGGAGCAAACGGG
This 253-nucleotide ribosomal RNA is filed under the name uncultured bacterium. RNAcentral describes it as "partial 16S ribosomal RNA". It matches the Rfam family "Bacterial small subunit ribosomal RNA", at positions 524 to 776 of the family's 1533-position model. The record is from RNAcentral.